Molecule: ribosomal RNA, 253 nt
Filed under: uncultured bacterium
Lineage: Bacteria
Description: partial 16S ribosomal RNA
Rfam family: Bacterial small subunit ribosomal RNA
Source: RNAcentral
UACGUAGGGGGCAAGCGUUGUCCGGAUUCAUUGGGCGUAAAGAGCGUGUAGGCGGCCAGGUAGGUCAGUUGUGAAAACUGGAGGCUCAACCUUCAGAGGUCGACCGAAACCAUCUGGCUAGAGUCCGGGAGAGGAGAGUGGAAUUCCUGGUGUAGCGGUGAAAUGCGCAGAUAUCAGGAAGAACACCCGUGGCGAAAGCGGCUCUCUGGAACGGUACUGACGCUGAGACGCGAAAGCGUGGGGAGCGAACAGG